Molecule: ribosomal RNA, 398 nt
Filed under: uncultured bacterium
Lineage: Bacteria
Description: partial 16S ribosomal RNA
Rfam family: Bacterial small subunit ribosomal RNA
Source: RNAcentral
AUACGUAGGGUGCGAGCGUUGUCCGGAAUUACUGGGCGUAAAGAGCUCGUAGGUGGUUUGUCGCGUCGUCUGUGAAAUUCCGGGGCUUAACUCCGGGCGUGCAGGCGAUACGGGCAUAACUUGAGUACUGUAGGGGAGACUGGAAUUCCUGGUGUAGCGGUGAAAUGGGCAGAUAUCAGGAGGAACACCGGUGGCGAAGGCGGGUCUCUGGGCAGUAACUGCCGCUGAGGAGCGAAAGCAUGGGUAGCGAACAGGAUUAGAUACCCUGGUAGUCCAUGCCGUAAACGGUGGGCGCUAGGUGUAGGGGUCUUCCACGACUUCUGUGCCGUAGCUAACGCAUUAAGCGCCCCGCCUGGGGAGUAUGGCCGCAAGGCUAAAACUCAAAGGAAUUGACGGGG